This 424-nucleotide long non-coding RNA is filed under the name Musa acuminata (dwarf banana). RNAcentral describes it as "long non-coding RNA (MACU_LNC006117)". The record is from RNAcentral. Lineage: Eukaryota; Viridiplantae; Streptophyta; Magnoliopsida; Zingiberales; Musaceae.
GCGGUGAGGUCGACGAGCUGCUGGCAGCGCUGGGGUACAAGGUUCGGUCGUCGGACAUGGCCGACGUUGCACAUAAGCUGGAGCAGCUGGAGAUGGCCAUGGUGAGCAGCGCCGCCACAAACGACGACGCCCUCCUAUCCCACCUCGCCUCCGACACCGUCCACUACAAUCCCUCUGACCUCUCUACCUGGGUGGAUAACAUCCUCUCCGAACUCAACGCCCCUCCUCCCCCUCUCCCCACGCCACCACCCCUGACCUCCGCCGACGCCUACGACCUCAAGCCACUCCCUGCUCUUCCCGCACCCGCCGACUCGCUCGUGCUGGGGUCCGAUCUCCAGUCCGAGGUCACGCCGUCCCCGAGAGACAGGAAGAGGAUGAAGGUCUGCAGUUCACCUCCGUCGUCGUCGACGACCACGGACGCGGC